GAUGAAGAACGUAGCGAAAUGCGAUAAGUAAUGUGAAUUGCAGAACUCAGUGAAUCAUCGAGUCUUUGAACGCACAUUGCGCCCCCUGGUAUUCCGGGGGGCAUGCCUGUCCGAGCGUCAUUGCUGCCCUCAAGCACGGCUUGUGUGUUGGGCCCCCGUCCCCGGUUUCCCCCGGGGACGGGCCCGAAAGGCAGCGGCGGCACCGCGUCCGGUCCUCGAGCGUAUGGGGCUUUGUCACCCGCUCUGUAGGCCCGGCCGGCGCCAGCCGACACCCAACUUUAUUUCUAAGGUUGACCUCGGAUCAGGUAGGGAUACCCGCUGAACUUAAGCAUAUCAAUAAGCGGAGGA
RNAcentral lists this unclassified non-coding RNA (348 nucleotides) under soil metagenome. RNAcentral describes it as "partial contains 5.8S ribosomal RNA, internal transcribed spacer 2, and large subunit ribosomal RNA". The stretch from base 1 to 120 matches the Rfam family "5.8S ribosomal RNA", at positions 35 to 154 of the family's 154-position model. The record is from RNAcentral.